CACGUAGGCGGAUCAGAAAGUCAGAGGUGAAAUCCCAGGGCUCAACCUUGGAACUGCCUUUGAAACUCCUGAUCUUGAGGCCGAGAGAGGUGAGUGGAAUUCCGAGUGUAGAGGUGAAAUUCGUAGAUAUUCGGAGGAACACCAGUGGCGAAGGCGGCUCACUGGCUCGAUACUGACGCUGAGGUGCGAAAGCGUGGGAGCAAACA
RNAcentral lists this ribosomal RNA (206 nucleotides) under uncultured bacterium. RNAcentral describes it as "partial 16S ribosomal RNA". It matches the Rfam family "Bacterial small subunit ribosomal RNA", at positions 568 to 774 of the family's 1533-position model. The record is from RNAcentral.